GGCUACACACGUGCUACAAUGGGUAGUACAGAGAGUCGCAAAGCCGUGAGGUGGAGCUAAUCUCAGAAAACUAUUCUUAGUUCGGAUUGUACUCUGCAACUCGAGUACAUGAAGUUGGAAUCGCUAGUAAUCGCAAAUCAGCUAUGUCGCGGUGAAUACGUUCUCGGGUCUUGUACACACCGCCCGUCACACCACGAGAGUUGGUUGCACCUGAAGUAGCAGGCCUAACCGUAAGGAGGGAUGCUCCGAGGGUGUGAUUAGCGAUUGGGGUGAAGUCGUAACAAGGUAUCCGUACGGGAACGU
This 303-nucleotide ribosomal RNA is filed under the name uncultured Fusobacterium sp. RNAcentral describes it as "bacterial SSU rRNA". It matches the Rfam family "Bacterial small subunit ribosomal RNA", at positions 1212 to 1513 of the family's 1533-position model. The record is from RNAcentral. Lineage: Bacteria; Fusobacteriati; Fusobacteriota; Fusobacteriia; Fusobacteriales; Fusobacteriaceae.